RNAcentral lists this ribosomal RNA (486 nucleotides) under uncultured bacterium. RNAcentral's name for it is "partial 16S ribosomal RNA". It matches the Rfam family "Bacterial small subunit ribosomal RNA", at positions 30 to 507 of the family's 1533-position model. The record is from RNAcentral.
AUUGAACGCUGGCGGCAUGCCUUACACAUGCAAGUCGAACGGCAGCACGGGUGCUUGCACCUGGUGGCGAGUGGCGAACGGGUGAGUAAUACAUCGGAACAUGUCCUGUAGUGGGGGAUAGCCCGGCGAAAGCCGGAUUAAUACCGCAUACGAUCCACGGAUGAAAGCGGGGGACCUUCGGGCCUCGCGCUAUAGGGUUGGCCGAUGGCUGAUUAGCUAGUUGGUGGGGUAAAGGCCUACCAAGGCGACGAUCAGUAGCUGGUCUGAGAGGACGACCAGCCACACUGGGACUGAGACACGGCCCAGACUCCUACGGGAGGCAGCAGUGGGGAAUUUUGGACAAUGGGCGAAAGCCUGAUCCAGCGAUGCCGCGUGUGUGAAGAAGGCCUUCGGGUUGUAAAGCACUUUUGUCCGGAAAGAAAUCCUUGACUCUAAUACAGUCGGGGGAUGACGGUACCGGAAGAAUAAGCACCGGCUAACUACGUG